This is an RNA transcript of Brassica rapa (field mustard), 4134 nucleotides long. It is a transcript of the gene named protein BRASSINOSTEROID INSENSITIVE 1, with no coding region annotated. NCBI's taxonomy places the organism in Eukaryota, Viridiplantae, Streptophyta, Magnoliopsida, Brassicales, Brassicaceae. The record is from RefSeq and is a predicted model, not a curated record.
UAGUCAGAAGAAGAGGUGACAUGCCAUGUGAGCGCACAGCUGUGACCACUCUUCCCAUCGUUGAUAUUUGAUAAAAUAAUUAAACACCUUCAUCCAUCUUCUCUUCUCCUCUCUUCUCUCUCUAGAGCUCCCACUUCCUCUCUAAUGGUGGAACCAAAACCCUAGAUCCCUCUUUCCUUAGUCUCAAACUUCCACAACUUAUCUCUCAAAAUCAUGAGAAUGAAAACUUUCCCAACCUUCUUUCUCUUCCUUCUAACCUUAUCCUUCUCCUCUCAAGCUUCCACAUCUCAAACUCACCAGCUUUUAAGUUUCAAAAACGCUCUUCCUGACAAGAAUCUACUCCCAGACUGGUCUCCCGACAAGAACCCAUGUACCUUCGAGGGCGUGACUUGCAAAGCCGACAAGAUUUCCUCAAUUGAUCUCAGUUCCAAGCCACUCAACCUCGGAUUCAGCGCCGUGGCUUCCUCUCUACUGUCUCUCACGGGACUAGAGUCCCUGUUUCUCUCGAACACCAACAUCAACGGCUCCGUCUCUGGUACCAAGUGCUCUGCUUCUCUCACGACCUUGGAUCUGUCGAGAAACUCCAUCUCCGGUCCUGUGUCAACCUUGUCGAGCCUCGGCUCUUGCAUCGCACUGAAGUCUCUUAACAUGUCUUCCAACUCUCUGGAAUUUCCCGGGAAAAUCUCAGGUGGUGGGUUGAAGCUUAGCAGCAGCAGCUUGGAAGUUCUGGAUCUCUCCAAGAACUUGCUAUCCGGUGCUAACCUCGUUGGCUGGAUUGUCUCCGGUGGCUGUGGAGAGCUCAAGCACUUGGAUAUAAGCGGGAACAAGAUCAGUGGAGAUGCGGAUGUCUCUCCUUGCGUGAAUCUCGAGUUUCUCGAUCUCUCCUCCAACAAUUUCUCCACUGUGAUUCCCUAUCUAGGUGACUGCUCCGCUCUUCAACACCUCGACAUCUCCGGUAACAAGUUAUCCGGUGACUUCUCCAGCGCUAUCUCCUCCUGCACAAACCUAAGGUCUUUGAACAUCUCUUGCAACUUAUUCACCGGACCCAUCUCUUCUUCACUACCGCUCAAAAGCCUCGAGUAUCUAUCUCUAACAGAUAACAAAUUCACCGGCGAGAUCCCGGAGCUUCUCUCCGGCGCGUGCGGUACACUCACCGGACUCGAUCUCUCCCGAAACGACUUUCACGGCACGGUUCCUCCUUUCUUCGCCUCCUGCUCUCUUCUCGAGUCGCUCGUUUUAUCCACCAACAACUUCUCCGGCGAGCUGCCUAUGGAUACUCUGCUGAAGAUGAGAGGGCUCAAGGUGCUCGACCUGUCGUUCAACAAGCUCUCCGGCGAGCUGCCUGAGUCUCUGGCCAAUCUCUCACUCACUACGCUGGACCUCAGCUCCAACAACUUCUCCGGUCAGAUUCUCCCGAGUCUCUGCCGUAACGGUGAAAACACGCUCCAGGAGCUUUACCUCCAGAACAAUGCCUUCACCGGGAAGAUUCCGCCGACGUUAAGCAACUGCUCCGACUUAGUUUCCCUCCACCUGAGCUUCAACUACCUCUCCGGGACCAUCCCGUCGAGUCUCGGCUCUCUAACGAAGCUCCGAGAUUUGAAGCUGUGGAUGAACAUGCUUCAAGGAGAGAUCCCUAAAGAGCUCAUGUAUCUCACCACCUUAGAGACUCUGAUCCUCGACUUCAACGACUUAACCGGAGAAAUCCCUUUCGGUUUAAGCAACUGUACCAAUCUGAAUUGGAUUUCUCUUUCCAAUAACCGGUUAACCGGUCAGAUUCCUAGAUGGAUCGGACGGUUAGAGAAUCUCGCCAUCCUCAAGCUAAGCAACAAUACUUUCAACGGUAACAUUCCUGCUGAGCUGGGGGACUGCCGGAGCCUAAUCUGGCUCGAUCUCAACACUAAUUAUUUCAACGGCACGAUCCCUCCGGAGAUGUUCAAACAGUCCGGUAAAAUAGCUGCGAAUUUCAUCGCCGGGAAGAGAUACGUUUACAUAAAAAACGACGGGAUGAACAAACAGUGCCACGGAGCUGGUAACUUGCUUGAGUUCCAAGGAAUCAGACCGGAGCAGCUUAACCGGGUUUCGACCCGGAACCCGUGUAAUUUCACGAGAGUUUACGGAGGUCAUACUCAGCCGACGUUUGAUAACAACGGCUCGAUGAUGUUCUUGGACAUGUCUUACAACAUGUUGUCUGGGUACAUACCGAAGGAGAUCGGUUCGAUGCCGUAUCUGUUUAUUCUCAACUUGGGUCAUAACUUCAUCUCUGGCUCUAUCCCUGAAGAGGUUGGUGAUCUGAGAGGGCUGAACAUUCUCGAUCUUUCGAGUAAUAAGCUGGACGGGAGGAUCCCUCAGUCCAUGUCGGCUCUUACCAUGCUUACGGAGAUUGAUCUGUCCAACAAUUUGUUAACCGGUCCGAUUCCUGAGAUGGGGCAGUUCGAGACUUUCCCGCCCGGGAAGUUCUUGAACAACUCUGGUCUCUGCGGUUAUCCGCUUCCGCGGUGCGGUGAUGCAAAGGCAGACGCGAUUGCACACCGUUCUCACGGAAGGAAACAGCCGUCUCUUGCGGGGAGCGUGGCGAUGGGUUUAUUGUUCUCUUUUGUAUGCAUAUGUGGGCUGAUACUCUUCGGUAGAGAGAUGAGGAGGCGGCGGAGGAUGAGAGAGGCGGCGAUGGAAGACUCCGGUGAUGGAACGACAGCUAACAACAACACGGAUUGGAGGCUGACUGGUGCGAGAGAAGCGUUGAGUAUUAAUCUCGCAGCGUUCGAGAAGCCGCUGCGGAAACUCACGUUCGCGGAUCUUCUCAAGGCUACAAACGGGUUCCAUGAGAACAGUAUGAUUGGAUCCGGCGGGUUUGGAGAUGUCUACAAAGCGGUUUUGAAAGAUGGAACAGCCGUGGCUAUCAAGAAACUGAUCCAGAUCAGUGGUCAAGGCGAUAGGGAGUUCAUGGCGGAGAUGGAAACGAUCGGGAAGAUCAAACACCGGAACCUCGUCCCGCUUCUGGGCUACUGCAAAGUCGGAGAAGAGCGGCUUCUCGUCUACGAGUUCAUGAAGUACGGUAGCUUAGAAGAUGUACUGCACGACCCCAAGAAGAAAGCUGGCUUGAAACUGAACUGGUUCACGCGGCAGAAGAUCGCCAUCGGAGCGGCUAGAGGGCUUGCCUUUCUUCACCAUAACUGCAUCCCACAUAUCAUCCACAGAGACAUGAAGUCGAGCAACGUGUUGCUGGACGAGAACUUGGAAGCUAGGGUUUCGGAUUUUGGCAUGGCGCGGCUGAUGAGCGCCAUGGACACGCAUUUGAGUGUCAGUACGUUAGCCGGUACGCCGGGCUAUGUCCCUCCUGAGUAUUACCAAAGUUUCAGGUGUUCAACGAAAGGAGACGUUUAUAGUUACGGUGUGGUCUUGCUCGAGCUGCUUACGGGUAGACGGCCAACGGAUUCGCCGGAUUUUGGAGAUAAUAACCUUGUUGGAUGGGUGAGACAGCAUGCUAAACUCCAGAUUAAGGACGUGUUCGAUCCUCAGCUUAUCAAGGAAGAUCCAGCGAGAGAGAUUGAACUUUUACAACACUUGAAAAUUGCGGUUGCGUGUUUGGAUGAUAGGGCUUGGAGAAGACCGAGCAUGUUAGAUGUCAUGGCAAUGUUUAAGGAGAUACAGACGGGGUUGGGGAUAGAUUCACAGUCCACCAUUGGAUCAUUAGAGAUGGUCGAUAUGAGUAUUAAAGAAGUUCCUGAAGGAAAGUUUUGAGAGUUGGGACACAGCCAAAGCUGAUUCUUUAGAACAUCAAUCAUCCAAGGGAGAAGCCAGAUGUAAGUAACCAAAGAGGAUGAAGGAACAGAAGAAGACAAUGAGACGAAGAUGGCACAGAUGGUUUGCUCUUUGACAAACCGUGAGGACUGUCUCUCUUGUGGAAGUUAAAACAUUAACAGUAGAGAAGAAACAAUAAAGUCGAUCAAAAAAGCGUCUCAUUUACAUUUGUGUCUGUUGAUUUGUGCAGUGUUAAGUACAAUAUAACGUAAUCUAGUUUCUAGGAGUAUAAGAUUGUCUUGUUAUUCGUGUGUGAAAGUUUAACAAGCUCUUUUAAAACUAUGUAAUAGUAAUAAACUCUCAAGGUUUUUUUUUAUAAAAUUCCUUUGUUAAGAA